RNAcentral lists this transfer-messenger RNA (92 nucleotides) under Aeriscardovia sp. Its description in RNAcentral is "partial transfer-messenger RNA". It matches the Rfam family "transfer-messenger RNA", at positions 1 to 93 of the family's 374-position model. From Rfam's summary of the family: Bacterial tmRNA, also known as 10Sa RNA or SsrA, is named for its dual tRNA and mRNA-like properties. Its role is to liberate the mRNA from a stalled ribosome. To accomplish this part of the tmRNA is used as a reading frame that ends in a translation stop signal. The record is from RNAcentral. Lineage: Bacteria; Bacillati; Actinomycetota; Actinomycetes; Bifidobacteriales; Bifidobacteriaceae.
GGGGCCGACAGGUUUCGACGGCGGUUUACUUCAUCCAGCUGGCAUGUCGGGAAUGCAGAGUAGCCCGUAAAAGACCUCUGCAAAACUAUAAG